UACGAAGGGGGCUAGCGUUGUUCGGAAUCAUUGGGCGUAAAGCGCACGUAGGCGGUUCGUUAUGUCGGAUGUGAAAGCCCUUGGCUCAACUGAGGAAGUGCAUCCGAAACUGGCAGGCUAGAGUACGUAAGAGGGUCGCGGAAUUCCCGGUGUAGAGGUGAAAUUCGUAGAUAUCGGGAGGAACACCGGUGGCGAAGGCGGCGACCUGGGACGAUACUGACGCUGAGGUGCGAAAGCGUGGGGGAGCAAACAGG
This 254-nucleotide ribosomal RNA is filed under the name uncultured bacterium. Its description in RNAcentral is "partial 16S ribosomal RNA". It matches the Rfam family "Bacterial small subunit ribosomal RNA", at positions 524 to 776 of the family's 1533-position model. The record is from RNAcentral.